AAGAUGGAAGCAACGGCGUUCGACAUAGGGGACAAGUACGGUGGUUAUCAUCAUCACCGCCGCAACAUUCAUAAUCUAGCCAUCGGUCAAUACAAUCACGAUGAAACACGUGAGUACAGUUCCUAAGCUCUCUGAUUUCGUCCUCGUCUUCAAGAUCUCCUAGACACACGGCACACAUGUCGUUUAUCGCCGCGGGAG
This 198-nucleotide small RNA is filed under the name Arabidopsis thaliana (thale cress). Its description in RNAcentral is "ATSL170050". Lineage: Eukaryota; Viridiplantae; Streptophyta; Magnoliopsida; Brassicales; Brassicaceae. The record is from RNAcentral.